AAUGAAGAACGUAGCGAAAUGCGAUAAGUAAUGUGAAUUGCAGAAUUCAGUGAAUCAUCGAAUCUUUGAACGCACCUUGCGCUCCUUGGUAUUCCGAGGAGCAUGCCUGUUUGAGUGUCAUUAAUAUAUCAACCUUCUCUUUUUUGAGUUGUUUGGAUGUGGGGGUUUGCUGGCCUCUUAAAUGAUUCAGCUCCCCUGAAAUGCAUUAGCAGAACAACCUGUUCAUUAGCGUGAUAAUUAUCUAUGCUAUUGAAUGUGAGGGCAGUUCAGCUUUCUAACCGUCCUUGGACAAUUCAUCAUUAAUGUGACCUCAAAUCAGGUAGGACUACCCGCUGAACUUAAGCAUAUCAAUAAGCGGAGGA
This 362-nucleotide unclassified non-coding RNA is filed under the name soil metagenome. Its description in RNAcentral is "partial contains 5.8S ribosomal RNA, internal transcribed spacer 2, and large subunit ribosomal RNA". The stretch from base 2 to 120 matches the Rfam family "5.8S ribosomal RNA", at positions 36 to 154 of the family's 154-position model. The record is from RNAcentral.